UAGGUAAAUCAAAUUUCAGGCUG
RNAcentral lists this microRNA (23 nucleotides) under Ciona intestinalis (vase tunicate). RNAcentral's name for it is "cin-miR-4050-5p". The record is from miRBase by way of RNAcentral. Lineage: Eukaryota; Metazoa; Chordata; Ascidiacea; Phlebobranchia; Cionidae.